CCCAGCAAAGUUAAAAAGUUCUUCAUUCUCUAUCUUCUUUGUUGUCCCCAUUCUUACAAAUUCACCUUGGGCAAUUUUAGAUACUAUCUUGAACUCAUCUUGGGUCACCUGGACCAGAUAGCUUGUAGACACAUCUGCUGGCUUCAACUGUUUUAGGAAUGUUCUACUUCGGCCUAGGAGAAAUUGCCUGACGGUUGAUGGAUGUGUCACACCAGUGUAAAUGCUACCUUCCUGGGAGACAUAAUAACAGCAAAGUUAAUGGAUGUCUAUCUUCAGAACUGAUGAUUGUCUCCUGCCUAAAGCCUUUCUAAUCUUGGGCCCAAACAACAAGACCUAUAAUCUUAUUGGGACCAUCAUGGUCUUAGGUGACAUGUGAUUUUAAUAUCCAAACUAAGG
RNAcentral lists this long non-coding RNA (396 nucleotides) under Vulpes vulpes (red fox). RNAcentral describes it as "lncRNA (ENSVVUG00000020872.1)". The record is from RNAcentral. Lineage: Eukaryota; Metazoa; Chordata; Mammalia; Carnivora; Canidae.